UGCCCUACGGGGCGCAGCAGUCGGGAAUAUUGCGCAAUGGAGGAAACUCUGACGCAGUGACGCCGCGUACAGGACGAAGGUCUUCGGAUUGUAAACUAUUGUCGUUAGGGAAGAGAAAGGACAGUACCUAAGGAGGAAGCUCCGGCUAUCUACGUGCCAGCAGCCGCGGUAAUACGUAGGGAGCAAGCGUUAUCCGGAUUUAUUGGGUGUAAAGGGUGCGUAUACGGGAAAUUAAGUUAGUUGUGAGAUCCCUCGGCUC
RNAcentral lists this ribosomal RNA (259 nucleotides) under uncultured bacterium. RNAcentral describes it as "partial 16S ribosomal RNA". It matches the Rfam family "Bacterial small subunit ribosomal RNA", at positions 335 to 610 of the family's 1533-position model. The record is from RNAcentral.